Molecule: ribosomal RNA, 339 nt
Filed under: uncultured bacterium
Lineage: Bacteria
Description: bacterial SSU rRNA
Rfam family: Bacterial small subunit ribosomal RNA
Source: RNAcentral
GCUCAGGAUGAACGCUGGCGGCGCGCCUAACACAUGCAAGUCGAACGAGCGAGAGAGAGCUUGCUUUCUCGAGCGAGUGGCGAACGGGUGAGUAACGCGUGAGGAACCUGCCUCAAAGAGGGGGACAACAGUUGGAAACGACUGCUAAUACCGCAUAAGCCCACGGCUCGGCAUCGAGCAGAGGGAAAAGGAGCAAUCCGCUUUGAGAUGGCCUCGCGUCCGAUUAGCUAGUUGGUGAGGUAACGGCCCACCAAGGCGACGAUCGGUAGCCGGACUGAGAGGUUGAACGGCCACAUUGGGACUGAGACACGGCCCAGACUCCUACGGGAGGCAGCAGUA